UUUGGGGCUGCAAGGUGAGGCAAAGGGAUAACUGCCCUCUCUCCACCCUGUGUCCCCAGU
MicroRNA precursor from Gallus gallus (chicken), 60 nucleotides. Lineage: Eukaryota; Metazoa; Chordata; Aves; Galliformes; Phasianidae. The record is from Ensembl.